This 4345-nucleotide long non-coding RNA is filed under the name Salmo salar (Atlantic salmon). Its description in RNAcentral is "lncRNA (ENSSSAG00000112491.1)". Lineage: Eukaryota; Metazoa; Chordata; Actinopteri; Salmoniformes; Salmonidae. The record is from RNAcentral.
GGCUCCCAUUUUGGCUGUAGUGUUUCCAAGCGCGUCAAUGAGAGCACGUUCUUUGGUACUUUUCUCCAGUAAAGAUAAACAAUUUUAUUGUUUAUUUGCAUAUUGGGGUACCUAUUGUUUGAUUAUAAACGUUGAUUGACUUGUUUGGAUAAGUUUAUUGGUAACGUUUGGGAUUCAUUUUGUAUGCAUUUUGAAGGAGGGAAACCGAGUGGAUUAUUGACUGAAGCGCGCCAGUUAAACUGAGUUUUUAUGGAUAUAAAAAAUGACUUUAUCGAACAAAAGGACCAUUUGUAAUGUAACUGGGACCUUUUGGAGUGACAACAGAAGAACAUUUUCAAAGGAAGUGAUGUCACUGAGCACUGCCCCUGUAUAUAGGACCUUCCACUCCCACCUGGGAUAUGGAUAGCUGAUGAAGACCUAUUGGUUGAGAUGUUGUAUCAAAAAAAUCACCUGGGAGCAUGAAUAGCAGUGUACAGUGUUUUUAUUUUUCUAUUUUUUAUGAGUUCCCCUAGAAUUCCAGCACCUGCAAAAAAGUACCUGGAUGUGCGUAUGUAUUUCAGCUUUUGUUCAUUUGGAAAAUGAACAUGUGAUAAAUACAUGUGAAACUUUGCACAUACAGUGCAAUACCAGUCAAAAGUUUGGACACACAUACUCAUUCAAGGGUUUUUCUUUUUCUCUACAUUGUAGAAUAAUAUUGAAGACAUUAAAACUAUGAAAUAACACAUAUGGAAUCACGUAGUAACCAAAAAAAUGUUAAAGAGAUCCUUUAAUGUUGCCACCUUUUCCCUUGAUGAUAGCUUUGCACACUCUUGGCUGUCUCUCAACCACCUUCAUGAGGUAGUCACCUGGAUUACGUGUCAAAUAACAGGUGUGCCUUGUUAAAAGUUAGAGCCAAUCAGUUGUAACAAGGUAGGGGUGGUAUACAGAACAUAGCCCCAUUUGACAAAAGACCAAGUCAAUAUUAUGGCAAGAACAGCUCAAAUAAGCAAAGAGAAACGACAGUCUAUCAUUACUUUAAGACAUAAAGGUCAGUCAAUACGGAAAAUGUCAAGAACUUUGAAAGUUUCUUCAAGUGCAGUUGCAAAAACCAUCAAGCGCUAUGAUGAAACUGGCUCUCAUGAGUAACUCUGCUGAGUUAACUCUGCAGCAGAGGAAAAGUUCAUUACAUUUAACAGCACCUCAGAUUGCAGCCCAAAUAAUUGCUUCACAGAGUUCAAGUAACAGACACAUCUCAACGUCAACUGUUCAGAGACUGCAUGAAUCAGGCCUUCAUGGACAAAUUGCUGCAAAGAAACACCAAUAAGAAGAAGAGACUUGCAUGGGCCAAGAAACAUGAGAAAUGGACAUUAGACCAGUGGAAAUCUGUCCUUUGGUCUGAUGAGUCCAAAUUUGAGAUUUUUGUUUCCAACCACCGUGUCUAUGUGAAAAGCAGAGUAGGUGAACAGAUGAUCUCCGCAUCUGUGGUUCCCACCGUGAAGCAUGGAGGAGGAGGUGUGAUGGUGUGGUGAUGCUUUGCUGGUGACACUGUCUGUGAUUUAUUUAGAAUUCAAGGCACACUUAACCCGCAUGGCUACCACAGCAUUCUGCAUCGUUAUGCCAUCCCAUCUAGUUUGCGCUGAGUGGGACUAUUAUUUGUUUUUCAACAGGACAAUGACCCAACACACCUUCAGGCUGUUUUUGACCAAGAAGGAGAGUGAUGGAGUGUGCAUCAGAUGACCUGGCCUCCACAAUCACCCGACCUCAACCCAAUUGAGAUGGUUUGGGAUAAGUUGGACUGCAGGGUGAAGGAAAAGCAGUCAACAAAUGCUCAACAUAUGUGGGAACUCCUUCAAGGACUGUUGGAAAAGCAUUCCAGGUGAAGCUGGUUGAGAGAAUGCUAAGCGUGUGCAAAGCUGUCAAGGCAAAGGGUGGCUACUUUGAAGAAUCUCAAAUAUAAAAUUAUUUUGAAUUGUUUAACACUUUUUGGUUACUACAUGAUUCCAUAUGUGUUAUUUCAUGGUUUUGAUGUCUUCGCUAUUAUUCUAAAAUGUAGAAAAUGUACAAAAAUAAAGCAAAAACCUGGAAUGAUUAGGUGUGAUGUUUCUCCCACAUUUUACACCUGAUUAUGUUUUUUUCAUGUGAAAAAUGUACAUGUAAAAACAUUUACAUGUGAAAAGUACGUUUCCUCAACCACUUUUUUUCCUAUGUGAAAAUGUCAUUUUUUUCACUCUAUUCUUUUUUUAAAAGGAAGCUAUUCAAGAUGUGGGCAAAACAAAUAUUAAAAAUCUAAAGGGGCACCUGCACUACUGCUUUUGAAUUGCAUCUGCUCAUUUUUACCUGGAUGAAGUGCCACACACUAAGAUACUGGCAGAACUGGAAUUCUGGCUAAACCUCCAAUGACAUGACAUGUGUCGGUCACAAAGACCUUUCUCAAGGCCAUGACCAAAAUAAUGGAUGUUAGCAAAUGUUAUUUCUGCAAGUACACGCUGUGUACAGAUACAUUUGCUCUGUCUGCUUAAUUUUCACUUUAUCUACCCACCUGAGAACAAACAUGUCUUCAGGUCUAAAGAAGACAAUUACCUCAUUCUAACACUUCGUUUUUUCAAUAACUUUGGCAAAUUUUUCAGAUGUAAGUGGUAUAUUUUCUAAAUUCUAUGUACAAAUUCUAUGUAAAAAACUCUCAACUGAUAACAUUUGUAAAACUCUCUGUCUUAUGUUCAGGACUGUUGAUUGUGUACUCAUUGGAGUUGAAUGUAUGUUUUCCAUGAAAUACCAUGAGAGCAUUUUGUUUAGUCACCAAUACAUCAGAUGAUAGGCUCACUGUUUAGUCAUUUUAAUUAACAUUUCAUCCAAUAGCUAAAAAUUCAAAACGGUUAUUUUUUAAGUGUUGAAUAAAAAGAAUAGUAGAUGUGAAAUAUAAUUUCCCAUACAGUAUUUGACUGGAAAAUAAUAUGGACAAUUGUUUUUGCAAACCAAUUUUUGUAAUAAUUUGUAUCUAAUGGCAGGUUGUUAGCAUGUAGGAAAUAUAGCCUAUAGUGCAUUCGUAAACUAUUCAGACCCCCCCCGUCUUUUAUUACCAUAUCAUUUUUGUAUGUUCUCUAUAGUGAUGUACUUGAAAAUGUUUCAAUUGACCAGUUUGGCACAUUUGGGCAGACUUGAUACAACAUUUUGUUUAGUAUUGCAAUGCUUCACUGGAUCAGUCUGAAACUUUGCACAUACACUGCUGCCAUCUAGUGGCCAAAAUCUAAAUUGUGCCUAAACUGCAAUAUUAUAUUACGCCCUUUCUCUUGCAUUUCAAAGAUGAUGUAACCAAAACAAAUUAGAAAACGCAUGUUUUUAUGUAUUAUCUUUUACCAGAUCUAAUGUGUUAUAUUCUCCUACAUUAAUUUCAUAUUUCCACAAACUUUAGUGUUUCCUUUUAAAUGGUAUCAAUAAUAUGUAUAUCCUUGCUUCAGGUCCUGAGCUAUAGGCAGUUAGAUUUGGGGAUUGUCAUUUUAGGCAAAAAUUGAAGAAAAGGGUCUGGUUUUCUGUUCGUUUCCAACAAUUGUUGGAAAAAUUACUUGUGUCAUGCACAAAGUAGAUAUCCUAACCGACUUGCCAAAACUAUAGUUUGUUAACAAGAAAUGUGUGGAGUAGUUGAAAAACGAGUUUUAAUGACUCCAACCUAAGUGUAUGUAAACUUCCGACUUCAACUGUCCUAUUGUUUCUCUUUAGUGUAUUUAACACUAUGUCCCAAAUAAAAGCCUUAGCAUGUGCACGUAGGGCGCACUGAUUGGUGUCACCUUGUUAGUAUGUGUUACACCUGUACUGGUUGCCAUCUCGUUAGUGGGAAGGCAUUUCGCCUGUGCUGGCCAAGGUGCUAUUUAAGAGUUGCUGUCGUUAACAUUGCUGUGGGUUUUUACUGUUGUUUGCCUCUUCUUGGGCAAAUUUAGUGGGCGCUCAUGGUGGGUGUCUUUUAGGUUCCAGUUGUUGUUGCUAGUCAACUUUCAGUGGACGCUCCCAUGAGUGUCUUUCGAAUGCCUCCUAAAACCCCGCCUGUUUCGUUUUGGUUGUUGUCAGUGACUCCGUGUUAGUUCCCAAUUCUGGUUGAGCGACAGUUUUUAGUUUUCUUGCUAGGGAACGUAACAGCAUGCACAUCAUCAAUAUGUACCUAUUGUUCCUCUUUAGUGCAUUUAACACUGUUGCAAAUAAAAUCCUUGGGUGGCGAGUUGAUACAUUUAAAACCACCCUCAGACUUAGAAAGAUGUAAAAAUGUCAGUUUUAUUUGCAAAUAUAAAGUCUUAUGACCGAGUACACUUUUUUUAAUUAACUUUUUAUAAAACAAUUCUUUGAUGGGGUAAUUGGUAUUACCGAAAAUAAAUAUAAC